UACAGAGGUCUCAAGCGUUGUUCGGAAUCACUGGGCGUAAAGGGUGCGUAGGCGGCGGGGAAAGUCAGAUGUGAAAUCCGGAGGCUCAACCUCCGAAUGGCAUCCGAUACUACCUCGCUAGAGAUUUGUAGAGGAGCUUGGAAUUCUCGGUGUAGCAGUGAAAUGCGUAGAUAUCGAGAAGAACGCUCGCAGCGAAAGCGAAGCUCUGGGCAAAUUCUGACGCUGAUGCACGAAGGCUAGGGGAGCAAACGGG
RNAcentral lists this ribosomal RNA (253 nucleotides) under uncultured bacterium. RNAcentral describes it as "partial 16S ribosomal RNA". It matches the Rfam family "Bacterial small subunit ribosomal RNA", at positions 524 to 776 of the family's 1533-position model. The record is from RNAcentral.